AAGAACGGACCUCCAGAAUGAAUUAAGUUCUUAACCAGAGGUACCACUGUACACCAGAAUAGAAGAUACAGUGGUACCUUGGGUUAAGUACUUAAUUCGUUCCGGAG
Podarcis lilfordi (Lilford's wall lizard) is the source of this 107-nucleotide non-coding RNA. NCBI's taxonomy places the organism in Eukaryota, Metazoa, Chordata, Lepidosauria, Squamata, Lacertidae. The record is from the annotation of a GenBank genome assembly.